GUACACGUGGCUGGCAAAGAGAAGAGAGCAUGAAGCUGCGAUUUUGAACAUGCCUAGUCCCAGAGAUGCAUGCGGGGAGAACUCCAUGUGAAGGUAAAGGCAGAGAUGCUUCAUUAAGCCAAGGAAUGCCAAAGGUGGCCAGCAAACCACCAGAAACCAGACAAGAUGCAUGGAACAGAUUGUGUCUCGUAGCUUUCAGAAGGAACCAACCCUGCCAUCAUGCAUUGAUUUUGGACUUCUGGCUUCCAGAACUGUGUGGGUUUGUCAUCCAGCGAGGAGAUAAGCAGAAAGUGCUGGGCCACUCCACUGGAGAAAUUGGAGACCUUUCUUCUGGCUGUGUCUAGGGAGGCAUGAGAGAGUGAGAGAAAACUCUGAGGAAUUGGAAAUGGAAGAAAAUAAUUCUAAAAUUUGUAUGGAACCACAAAGACUGCUAAUAGCCAAAGCUAGUUUGAACAAGAAGAACAAAGCUGGAGGCCUCACACCUUCUGAUUUCAAAAUAUAUUACAAAGCUACAGUACUAGCAUAAAAACAGAUGCAUAAACCAAUGGGUAGAAUAGAUAGCCCAG
RNAcentral lists this long non-coding RNA (566 nucleotides) under Pongo abelii (Sumatran orangutan). RNAcentral describes it as "lincRNA". The record is from RNAcentral. Lineage: Eukaryota; Metazoa; Chordata; Mammalia; Primates; Hominidae.